RNAcentral lists this ribosomal RNA (766 nucleotides) under uncultured bacterium. RNAcentral's name for it is "bacterial SSU rRNA". It matches the Rfam family "Bacterial small subunit ribosomal RNA", at positions 8 to 796 of the family's 1533-position model. The record is from RNAcentral.
AGAGUUUGAUCCUGGCUCAGGAUAAACGCUGGCGGCGUGCCUAACACAUGCAAGUCGAACGCUCUCUUGCCGCAAGGUGAGAGGGAGUGGCGGACGGGUGAGUAACACGUGGGAAUCGACCCAUUCGUGAGGAAUACCACCGAGAAAUCGGUGACAAUACCGCAUACGCUUUCUUCGGGAAGCAAAGCUCUUCGCAAGAGGGGCGCGAGUGGACGAGCCUGUGCCUGAUUAGCUAGUUGGUGGGGUAAGAGCCUACCAAGGCUGCGAUCAGUCGCUGGUCUGAGAGGAUGAUCAGCCACACUGGGAUUGAGAACGGCCCAGACUCCUACGGGGGGCAGCAGUGAGGAAUAUUCGGCAAUGGGGGCAACCCUGACCGAGCAACGCCGCGUCCAGGAAGACGGCCUUCGGGUUGUAAACUGCUUUUCUGGGGGAAGAGAACGGACGGUACCCCAGGAAGAAGCUCCGGCUAACUACGUGCCAGCAGCCGCGGUAAUACGUAGGGAGCGAGCGUUGUCCGGAGUUACUGGGCGUAAAGCGCACGCAGGCGGUCUGUCGCGUUCGUGCCGACAGCGACUCGCCUAACGAGUCGAGGAGUACGGCAACGGGCAGACUUGAGGGCCAGAGAGGGACACGGAACUCCGGGUGGAGUGGUGAAAUGCGUAGAGAUCCGGAAGAACACCAAAGGCGAAGGCAGUGUCCUGGUUGGUACCUGACGCUCAGAGGCGACAGCUAGGGGAGCGAACGGGAUUAGAUACCCCGGUAGUCC